CCUACCUGCUAUCACCACCUUACCCCCCAACCCACCAACCCCAUCUGCUAUCAACCCCUUACCCCACCAACCCCAUCUGCUAUCACCACAGUAUGGCAUCGGGGCCUCUGAGACUUGUUCACUAGUGACCCCCCGCCCCCUGAAUACCAAGCCUCCAGACCCCUCUCCCUCCUGACCUGAUGGUCUCUGUCCGAGGGAGGGGUUAGAUCCUGAUCUAUACGGGUUACAAUGUCAGCUGAUGUUCAUUACGUCUCAACAUGUAAUGGAUGAGAUUAGGUCAUGGUUCAGAUUAUGAGGCCUGUCCAGGUGUAAACAAGAUGCUGGCUGGAAGGCAGCUGUUUUCCACCUGGAGAGACAGGGGAGCAUGGUGAGGUGACCUCUAGGUGUUGAGAGAGGGGAGCAUGGUGAGGUGACCUCUAGGUGUUGAGAGAGGGGAGCAUGGUGAGGUGACCUCUAGGUGUUGAGAGUGGGGAGCAUGGUGAGGUGACCUCUAGGUGUUGAGAGAGGGGAGCAUGGUGAGGUGACCUCUAGGUGUUGAGAGUGGGGAGCAUGGUGAGGUGACCUCUAGGUGUUGAGAGAGGGGAGCAUGGUGAGGUGACCUCUAGGUGUUGAGAGUGGGGAGCAUGGUGAGGUGACCUCUAGGUGUUGAGAGUGGGGAGCAUGGUGAGGUGACCUCUAGGUGUUGAGAGAGGGGAGCAUGGUGAGGUGACCUCUAGGUGUUGAGAGGGGGGAGCAUGGUGAGGUGACCUCUAGGUGUUGAGAGUGGGGAGCAUGGUGAGGUGACCUCUAGGUGUUGAGAGAGGGGAGCAUGGUGAGAUGACCUCUAGGUGUUGAGAGAGGGGAGCAUGAUGAGGUGACCUCUAGGUGUUGAGAGAGGGGAGCAUGGUGAGGUGACCUCUAGGUGUUGAGAGUGGGGAGCAUGGUGAGGUGACCUCUAGGUGUUGAGAGAGGGGAGCAUGGUGAGGUGACCUCUAGGUGUUCAGAGAGGGGAGCAUGGUGAGGUGACCUCUAGGUGUUGAGAGAGGGGAGCAUGGUGAGAUGACCUCUAGGUGUUGAGAGAGGGGAGCAUGGUGAGGUGACCUCUAGGUGUUCAGAGAGGGGAGCAUGGUGAGGUGACCUCUAGGUGUUGAGAGAGGGGAGCAUGGUGAGGUGACCUCUAGGUGUUGAGAGAGGGGAGCAUGGUGAGGUGACCUCUAGGUGUUGAGAGAGGGGAGCAUGGUGAGGUGACCUCUAGGUGUUGAGAGAGGGGAGCAUGAUGAGAUGACCUCUAGGUGUUGAGAGAGGAGCAUGGUGAGGUGAACUCUAGGUGUUGAGAGAGGGGAGCAUGAUGAGAUGACCUCUAGGUGUUGAGAGAGGAGCAUGGUGAGGUGACCUCUACGUGUUGAGUGAGGGGAGCAUGAUGAGCAUGGUGAGAUGACCUCUGUAGGUGUUGAGAGUUUCUUCAUUAGGAAUCAGCUGACUCUGGCCCUGGAUGGGUCCAAAAUGUCACACUGUUCCCCAAAUAGUGUACUGCUUUUGACCAGAGCCCUGCUCAAAAGUAGUGCACUAUUUAAGGAAACGGGUGCCAAUCAGGACGUCUCUCUCUUUGUCAUGGUCACUAUUCAUCCCCUGUUCUUUAGUGCUUUAGACACUGUGUGUUUACGUACACAGGGAGACUGGGCUGUUUGGUGAUAAAACAUCCUCAUAGAGACAACAAAUACACAGUCAGACGCAGGUUUAUUUAUCUCCAAACCCUCCCAGACCUAAAUACUGUAAUAACACACACAAGCUAAAACACGGCUCGCUCACAGACAUACACUUUAGUGUUAUUUUUAAACCCUGGACCUGUUAUAUAUACACACUCACACACACAACCUGUUCUGGUCAAUAACUCUCUCCAGGUCUCUCUUCCUCAUGCCUUGCACUAAUGAUUCUCAUGAAUAAAUCUUGUCAUAAUUACAGCCAGUGUGAUAUAAAUAUAUAUAUAUAUAUAUAAAUAAUAUACUGUAAAUAGGGUGUUGCAAUGUAGUCUACUUUUUCGAUUUACAAUUGAGAAGACUAAUGCUUGCUAGGGAGUUGUCUAGAUCAUCAAUAAAAAACUGUACAGUUAGCAGAAAACAGCUUCGGUGUGGGUUUGGAGUUGUUGUUUUUUUCACAGAAAUUGUCAAAUUAUAAUCGAUGGUGGUCUUUAUAAAUGUAUGUAGUGUUAUUAACAAAAAAAUGAACUUGCAUUUCUUUAGUGGUCUGUCUUUAAACUUUAUUUCUCAAGAAAAACAGUGUUUUUUUUGUUUUUUUUUACAUUCUCUAACGCAUUUCACUCAUUUGUUAGUGAUCUUAAGUAAGGAUGCCCUGUCCAAUACUCCUCAUCCUACUAGAACUGAACACACACAAUACACCGUCUGGGUGUAGAAUCCCUGCUGGAGCAAAGCAGAAAGCAGAUCGGAUUUGACAAAACUAACCGUCCGCUUGUCUUAUAAAGUCGCUGUAAGAAUGUAACAACCUUAGUAGGAGAAGAAAGUCUGGUCUGUUCUACUGUUGGGGUAUUAGCUGGUGGAUCAUGAUGAUGAUGAUUAACUCAUAGGGAUGUACAUUGUAUACAUUUUUGUUGUUGCUGUGGACACUUACUUGCAGCUGGAAAAAAAUUAACAAAUGCAAGCAUUUUACAGUACUGUUAAAUAAUGACCAAAUAAAUACAUCAAUAAAAUGGAUGAUUUAUAUUGUA
This is a long non-coding RNA of Coregonus clupeaformis (lake whitefish), 2701 nucleotides long. RefSeq lists it as uncharacterized. The transcript has 2 exons. Lineage: Eukaryota; Metazoa; Chordata; Actinopteri; Salmoniformes; Salmonidae. The record is from RefSeq and is a predicted model, not a curated record.